This 496-nucleotide ribosomal RNA is filed under the name uncultured bacterium. RNAcentral's name for it is "partial 16S ribosomal RNA". It matches the Rfam family "Bacterial small subunit ribosomal RNA", at positions 29 to 507 of the family's 1533-position model. The record is from RNAcentral.
AUGAACGCUGGCGGCGUGCCUAAUACAUGCAAGUCGAGCGAACAGACGAGGAGCUUGCUCCUCUGACGUUAGCGGCGGACGGGUGAGUAACACGUGGAUAACCUACCUAUAAGACUGGGAUAACUUCGGGAAACCGGAGCUAAUACCGGAUAAUAUAUUGAACCGCAUGGUUCAAUAGUGAAAGACGGUUUUGCUGUCACUUAUUGAUGGAUCCGCGCCGCAUUAGCUAGUUGGUAAGGUAACGGCUUACCAAGGCAACGAUGCGUAGCCGACCUGAGAGGGUGAUCGGCCACACUGGAACUGAGACACGGUCCAGACUCCUACGGGAGGCAGCAGUAGGGAAUCUUCCGCAAUGGGCGAAAGCCUGACGGAGCAACGCCGCGUGAGUGAUGAAGGUCUUCGGAUCGUAAAACUCUGUUAUUAGGGAAGAACAAAUGUGUAAGUAACUAUGCACGUCUUGACGGUACCUAAUCAGAAAGCCACGGCUAACUACGUG